This 497-nucleotide ribosomal RNA is filed under the name uncultured bacterium. RNAcentral describes it as "partial 16S ribosomal RNA". It matches the Rfam family "Bacterial small subunit ribosomal RNA", at positions 28 to 507 of the family's 1533-position model. The record is from RNAcentral.
GAUGAACGCUGGCGGCGUGCCUAAUACAUGCAAGUCGAGCGAACGGACGAGAAGCUUGCUUCUCUGAUGUUAGCGGCGGACGGGUGAGUAACACGUGGAUAACCUACCUAUAAGACUGGGAUAACUUCGGGAAACCGGAGCUAAUACCGGAUAAUAUUUGGAACCGCAUGGUUCAAAAGUGAAAGACGGUCUUGCUGUCACGUAUAGAUGGAUCCGCGCUGCAUUAGCUAGUUGGUAAGGUAACGGCUUACCAAGGCAACGAUGCAUAGCCGACCUGAGAGGGUGAUCGGCCACACUGGAACUGAGACACGGUCCAGACUCCUACGGGGGGCAGCAGUAGGGAAUCUUCCGCAAUGGGCGAAAGCCUGACGGAGCAACGCCGCGUGAGUGAUGAAGGUCUUCGGAUCGUAAAACUCUGUUAUUAGGGAAGAACAUAUGUGUAAGUAACUGUGCACAUCUUGACGGUACCUAAUCAGAAAGCCACGGCUAACUACGUG